CUUUGGGUGUGACUGCGUACCUUUUGUAUAAUGGGUCAGCGACUUAUAUUCUGUAGCAAGGUUAACCGAAUAGGGGAGCCGGAGGGAAACCGAGUCUUAACCGGGCGUUAAGUUGCAGGGUAUAGACCCGAAACCCGGUGAUCUAGCCAUGGGCAGGUUGAAGGUUGGGUAACACUAACUGGAGGACCGAACCGACUAAUGUUGAAAAAUUAGCGGAUGACCUGUGGCUGGGGGUGAAAGGCCAAUCAAACCGGGAGAUAGCUGGUUCUCCCCGAAAGCUAUUUAGGUAGCGCCUCGUGAAUUCAUCUCCGGGGGUAGAGCACUGUUUCGGCUAGGGGGCCAUCCCGGCUUACCAACCCGAUGCAAACUGCGAAUACCGGAGAAUGUUAUCACGGGAGACACACGGCGGGUGCUAACGUCCGUCGUGAAGAGGGAAACAACCCAGACCGCCAGCUAAGGUCCCAAAGUCAUGGUUAAGUGGGAAACGAUGUGGGAAGGCCCAGACAGCCAGGAUGUUGGCUUAGAAGCAGCCAUCAUUUAAAGAAAGCGUAAUAGCUCACUGGUCGAGUCGGCCUGCGCGGAAGAUGUAACGGGGCUAAACCAUGCACCGAAGCUGCGGCAGCGACACUGUGUGUUGUUGGGUAGGGGAGCGUUCUGUAAGCCUGUGAAGGUGUGUCGUGAGGCAUGCUGGAGGUAUCAGAAGUGCGAAUGCUGACAUAAGUAACGAUAAAGCGGGUGAAAAGCCCGCUCGCCGGAAGACCAAGGGUUCCUGUCCAACGUUAAUCGGGGCAGGGUGAGUCGACCCCUAAGGCGAGGCCGAAAGGCGUAGUCGAUGGGAAACGGGUUAAUAUUCCCGUACUUGGUGUUACUGCGAAGGGGGGACGGAGAAGGCUAUGUUGGCCGGG
This 905-nucleotide ribosomal RNA is filed under the name Salmonella enterica. RNAcentral's name for it is "partial 23S ribosomal RNA". It matches the Rfam family "Bacterial large subunit ribosomal RNA", at positions 583 to 1495 of the family's 2925-position model. RNAcentral also lists the same sequence under 1 other name. The record is from RNAcentral. Lineage: Bacteria; Pseudomonadati; Pseudomonadota; Gammaproteobacteria; Enterobacterales; Enterobacteriaceae.